GACGAACGCUGGCGGCGUGCUUAACACAUGCAAGUCGAACGGAAAGGCCCUGCUUUUGUGGGGUGCUCGAGUGGCGAACGGGUGAGUAACACGUGAGUAACCUGCCCUUGACUUUGGGAUAACUUCAGGAAACUGGGGCUAAUACCGGAUAGGAGCUCCUGCUGCAUGGUGGGGGUUGGAAAGUUUCGGCGGUUGGGGAUGGACUCGCGGCUUAUCAGCUUGUUGGUGGGGUAGUGGCUUACCAAGGCUUUGACGGGUAGCCGGCCUGAGAGGGUGACCGGCCACAUUGGGACUGAGAUACGGCCCAGACUCCUACGGGAGGCAGCAGUGGGGAAUAUUGCACAGUGGGCGGAAGCCUGAGGCAGCAACGCCGCGUGCGGGAUGACGGCUUUCGGGUUGUAAACCGAUUUCGCCUGUGACGAAGCGUGAGUGACGGUAAUGGGUAAAGAAGCACCGGCUAACUACGUG
RNAcentral lists this ribosomal RNA (468 nucleotides) under uncultured bacterium. Its description in RNAcentral is "partial 16S ribosomal RNA". It matches the Rfam family "Bacterial small subunit ribosomal RNA", at positions 28 to 507 of the family's 1533-position model. The record is from RNAcentral.